Peromyscus maniculatus bairdii (prairie deer mouse) is the source of this 1931-nucleotide non-coding RNA. The record is from RefSeq and is a predicted model, not a curated record. NCBI's taxonomy places the organism in Eukaryota, Metazoa, Chordata, Mammalia, Rodentia, Cricetidae.
CGGGGACCCUAGGAGCAAGCUCCAGCCAGGAGGCCUCGUCCUGAUGGCUGUGUACCUGGAGGUCACCAGGCUUUUGCAGAAAAUCAAGAUAAAUUAAUGCUUUAAGUUGGAAGGAUUGAAAAGAUGAAGAAAAAAGGUGAUGUUUCAAGAAGUCAAGUUGCCUGGCCAAGACUUGAACCAGAGUCUCCCUGAUGCAGUUCACCUUUGGGCAUAUAGAAGAGAGGGAGAAUGGGUACAAGACUUGAAAGUCAUGCAAACCUUUCCUUUUCAAAGGAAACCAGGGCUCAGGAAUGUGGAGGAAAGAGCCCAAGUGACGCUGUCGGCUGGUGGCGGGACUGGGGUCCAUAGUUCCUCCCUUUGUGCCGUAGCCUCAGCUCUCUUUAAGAGCUGUGCUGUCCAAUAAGACAAAAGUGGGAGGAGCUCCUACUUGAUCUUACCCAUGAAGACCCUGGGAAAACUCCAGGCUUUAUCCAACACCACUGGAAUUCUACAAGUACAUGGUCUCAGCAUUUGGAAAACUCUGCGACGCCUCAGGCACAGCAUGGUCUUGAUUCCUGUCUUUGGUGUCUGAUCAUGUACAUCUCUCUUCAGUAGUGGAUGACAUUGUCACACCUCCCCAAAAUUCAGCAUGCACGCUACUGGCACACGUAUUCACUCUAAUCUCAUUCUUAUAGGCAGGCAAUGUUAUUAACCUUCGUUCUACAGCAGAGGCACUGAGCGGCCCAGAGAUGCUAACAAACUUCGCCCACUACUCAUCAAGAGACUUUAACCCAGGCAAUGUGGCUCUAGAACCUGUCCUACAACUAAUAGUCAGUUGGCUUCAAUGAAGUGACACCAGAGUGACGUGAUCACAUCCCCCAGUGGACAGACUUCCAUCCUAUACUCAGUAAGUUCCUGACUAUGUUUAAAGCUGAAAGAAUGGAGGGGCUUCUCUCUUUUCAUGACAUAAAAGAAUACAUGCCACACACAGCUUGGUCAUCAGUCACGUGACAUUAAACUUGGAUGGGCCAGACCCGAAAUGCCGCUGAGUUGCUAGGUUGCUUAGGUUCUUUUGCUCUGUGGACUGACAUGUUUUAUCCCUCCCAAAGGAGUAAUAGAACUCUUUAAAGACUUAUUUUAUUAUUAGAAGAUUGAUUUAUUUUUUAAAGUUCAUUAAACUAGGAACAUCGAUGGACUUUGGGAUAUUUACAGUUUCUACUAUUCUGACCACAAAGCUCACUCAUUCUUUCCAGCUCCAAGUAUGUGUCCUGUGAACCCAGGAGGUGCUGGUGGGAUGGGGAGCUGUCUGUUAAAAUGCUAAAUUGAUUGCAUUCAUCCGAUCCAUAUCUGUGUGCAGUGGGAUUUGAACCUAAGCUGGGCAAAUGAAUUAACCCUGUACCCUCUUGGCCUGUCAGCCCUCUAGGCAAAGCAGGAAUCAAAUGCAAUCCCCCUUAUGCUAAGGGGCUGUAGAGCUGUCAAUCAGAGUGAGGGGGUCUCAAGAGAGAACAUAAUGAGCCAUGGCCCCAGGGCAGGGGAGCCACGUUCCCGAAUGUCCUCAGCAGCAUGCCUCCAUGGAAGGAAUGCAUGCACUGGCAUGUUUCAGAGCUAAUAACAAGGUUUUUGAUUUGUUCCUAUAAUGAAGGAUUAUGUCUAAGCACACCAGUGAGUAGCAGGAGACUGUCAACACCCAGGUGGCCACUUUCCUAAGAAGCUGAGUGAGAGCAUGGGGUGAUUUUCCAAGGGGAAAUGCCUGCCCUCCCGUCACCAUCCAGGCAGGAAAAACAAUCAGCAGAGUUGAUGAGCAGUGAGGUCAAGGACAUUAGUAAGGACUCAAAUAACGAAGAGAACUCUGACAUCGAAACAGUCAAGGCUAGCCUGGGCUACAGAGCAAGUUCCAAGCCACUAACAUCUGAGGUCUAGUCUUUUCCAAGUCACAGAUCCACUGGUGUGAC